This 332-nucleotide unclassified non-coding RNA is filed under the name soil metagenome. Its description in RNAcentral is "partial contains 5.8S ribosomal RNA, internal transcribed spacer 2, and large subunit ribosomal RNA". The stretch from base 1 to 120 matches the Rfam family "5.8S ribosomal RNA", at positions 35 to 154 of the family's 154-position model. The record is from RNAcentral.
GAUGAAGAACGUAGCAAAAUGCGAUAAGUAAUGUGAAUUGCAGAAUUCAGUGAAUCAUCGAAUCUUUGAACGCACAUUGCGCCCGCCAGUAUUCUGGCGGGCAUGCCUGUUCGAGCGUCAUUUCAACCCUCAAGCACAGCUUGGUGUUGGGACUCGCGUUAAUUCGCGUUCCCCAAAUUGAUUGGCGGUCACGUCGAGCUUCCAUAGCGUAGUAGUAAAACCCUCGUUACUGGUAAUCGUCGCGGCCACGCCGUUAAACCCCAACUUCUGAAUGUUGACCUCGGAUCAGGUAGGAAUACCCGCUGAACUUAAGCAUUUCAAUAAGCGGAGGA